ACUCCCAGGCAAAUCAUCUAUACCUUGUAUGUCUAUAAAGGAACAAGCCUUUCCUUGUUCAUUUUUAUAUCCUUGGUAUCUAUCUCAGAACCUGGCUUAAAUACAGGCUUAGUUAACAUUCACUGAGUGACUAAAUACUCCAUUUUUUAAUUUGGAAAAUUAGUAUUUAUAAGAACCCAUCAUGAAACUAGCCAUGAAGUUAAUUAAAACUGUGUUCUCUCAUUUUCAACUAUUUUUUUUUCCUAAAUCUAUGCGAGGUUCAGUGCUGAGAAAUAAGAGGAUAUCAGGUAUUUAUUGAACUGAAUGGUGAAAGUUCUUUUACAAUGCAUAUCCAAAGUUGGGAAAGAUAAAAUCUAGAAAGGUAACUAUUGAUAAACUGCUCUUGCAGGUUUAAAAAGCCCCCAUAAUUAUAAGAAACUUCUCCAGAAUUUCACUUAUUCUUUGGUUCCAUCCUCCUGUUUUCUCCAUUGUGCCUGACAAGGCUAUCACAACCUAUUCUUUCUCUCAUGCAAUGUCCAGUGAGUAUUUCUGAGCAGAUUGGUUUUAGUGAUGAAAACAUACAUCUAUUCAGGAAAUCAGCCCCCUUCUGCCUCGCCUAAGCCAUCCAUUGAGCUUCAAGGUCAAAACAUAGCUCUAAUGCUCAGGACAUCAAAUCUGGUACUACUGUGGCAGGAGAACCAAAGGGGAGAGGGGCAACUGUUCAACAUAAGGAUCAUCCUAUGAGUGGUGGAGCUAUAUGUCAUGUGGCAAUCCAGGCUUAAAGCAAAGCUGAAGUCCAUUCCAGAUAAUCAGCAUAUAAUCACAAUACAGUUCAGAUGCCUCCGUGGGAAUAGGAUUAAUAAGUAAUUGGCAGAAACAGGUACAAAGUUCAAACUGUACUUUAUUAAACAGGAACUGUGCCCACGUUGGCCUGGAACUCUUGGCUCAAGAGGUCCUUCUGCCUCACCCUCUCAAGUAGCUAGGAAUAGAGGUGCACACCACCAGGUCACUGACCCUGUACAAGGUGUCACCAUCGACCUUGAGGUGGCAGGUGUUCACGAUGCCAGCAAAGGGAACACAUAGCCAUCUCUUGCAGUCAAUUUCGCAGAUGAAAUGAACUUGAUACAGUCCUUGCGGCUUCCAUAUUCACCUUAUUUGUCAUUGUACAGAGAGCGAGAGACAGCAUCUUCCACUCCACCAUAUGGAUUUGUUGUCAAAGCCCAUGAAGGCUACAUUCCAAAGAGAUUUUCUAAGACCACAUAGGGCUUGGUACUCCCAGAAGUAUUCAUUUACUAUCAUAACAAAAGAAUAAAUGAAAGGAGGAGUGCCUUCACAGAAACACUAUUUUCUGUAAAAAUCAUUGCUACUGGUAUAGAAAUGUUAAUGGCUGAGGAUAUAGAGAAUACUUUGGUUGAAGUUCCAGCCUGCCAUUCUUGCUUUCUGAAUUAUGAGAGAAAAUUGUGUUUGAAAAAAUCUGUUCCUGCAUUUUUUUCUAGGCUCUUCUUUAUAAAGCAAUUGAUGUAGUAAAAAACCAAUUUUUCUCACUUCCUCUUACUUCCCAAGAGAGCGUGGGCAUCUGUCACUUUUCAAUGGGCGAUUCAGUCUUAAUUAUUCUUCAAACUAUAUCGUGGGCUCUCAAAUGACAAAUGUAGGUUAUAUUUAGAUACUUCUCACAUGCAGUCUGUACAAGCCCCUCCGCACUUGUCUCUCUAUUGCAUGCAUCUGCAGUCUCCUCUACUCAGUUGUUCUUAAAAGUUCUCACAGCAGCAUAAAAUAAUUUUAAUAACACCCAGUGCAUGACCAUUUUUAAUUUGUACAUCCUUUGGUGACCUUAUUCAUAAAAUAUUUUUAAGUUUCAUUGAGCAGCCAGAGGAAAAUAGUCCUAUGAACAAAUUGUGUAAGUUUAUCACCAUGCU
RNAcentral lists this long non-coding RNA (1895 nucleotides) under Heterocephalus glaber (naked mole-rat). Its description in RNAcentral is "lncRNA (ENSHGLG00000037725.1)". The record is from RNAcentral. Lineage: Eukaryota; Metazoa; Chordata; Mammalia; Rodentia; Bathyergidae.